GUAGAGGAGAUGGCGCAAGGGACACAAACGAAGACUUGGGGGUUCCUGGGACCUUCAGACAUAUGUCCUCUUCUCCCCCCUCCCAG
This 86-nucleotide microRNA precursor is filed under the name Equus caballus (horse). Its description in RNAcentral is "mir-877 microRNA precursor family". It matches the Rfam family "mir-877 microRNA precursor family". The record is from Rfam by way of RNAcentral. Lineage: Eukaryota; Metazoa; Chordata; Mammalia; Perissodactyla; Equidae.